CCUACGGGAGGCAGCAGUGGGGAAUAUUGCACAAUGGGGGAAACCCUGAUGCAGCGACGCCGCGUGAAGGAAGAAGUAUUUCGGUAUGUAAACUUCUAUCAGCAGGGAAGAAAAUGACGGUACCUGACUAAGAAGCCCCGGCUAACUACGUGCCAGCAGCCGCGGUAAUACGUAGGGGGCAAGCGUUAUCCGGAUUUACUGGGUGGAAAGGGAGCGUAGGCGGUUUAGCAAGUCAGAAGUGAAAGCCCGGGGCUCAACCCCCGGACUGCUCUGGAAACUGUACGGCUGGAGUGCAGGAGAGGUAAGUGGAAUUCCUAGUGUAGCGGUGAAAUGCGUAGAUAUUAGGAGGAACACCAGUGGCGAAGGCGGCUUACUGGACUGUAACUGACGUUGAGGCUCGAAAGCGUGGGGAGCAAACAGGAUUAGAUACCCGGGUAGUC
RNAcentral lists this ribosomal RNA (440 nucleotides) under uncultured bacterium. Its description in RNAcentral is "partial 16S ribosomal RNA". It matches the Rfam family "Bacterial small subunit ribosomal RNA", at positions 338 to 795 of the family's 1533-position model. The record is from RNAcentral.